Molecule: non-coding RNA, 1092 nt
Organism: Parasteatoda tepidariorum (common house spider)
Lineage: Eukaryota; Metazoa; Arthropoda; Arachnida; Araneae; Theridiidae
Source: RefSeq, a predicted model, not a curated record
ACUGAUUGUCGCUAAAGCUUUUAUUUUAUUGUAAAGUUAAGUAAGUUCUCUUUAAAACAAAAGCUGUGACAUCUCUGAUAUUUUUAGUUUGAUUUUUUCAGAUCAAUUGUCGGCAGUUCCAGAGCUCUCUUCAUUGAACUUGAGUCCAUUCUUUAAAUCUUCUCUUCCUAUUGAACUCACUGAAUCUGAGACUGAGUUUGUUGUUAGAUGCAUUAAACACACAUUCACUAACCACAUUGAGUUGCAGUUUGACUGUACGAACACUUUGUUAGAUCAAGUGUUGGAGAACGUUUAUGUUCAGGUUGACCCCAGUGAAGGUUUUAAAGUGGUCUGUUACUCUCCUUGCUCAAAAUUACAGUACAGUGCUCCUGGUGCAGCAUAUGCCUGCAUCAGCUUACCCAAUGAUACUUUAGUUGGUGAAAGGGAAGUUUGGUAAAUUAGGUAAGGAUGUUGUCUGUUCAUUACCAGUUGAAGAUGUUGUGUUAUCAGAAUCUAAAAAGCUGUUGAUUAGACUGUGUAAUGAAAUCAAUAGGUUCUCCUCAUUCAGUGUUUGCUCCUUACUGGUCUAAAACUCUUCAAAAAAUUUUUACGAAAUGAGUGCAUUAUGUUUUAAUGAAAAUUAUGUUGAAAAUUAUUUCACAAGUAUUUAUUUGUGCAAGGAAAGCAAGUUUGGGAAAGAAGAUUUUUUUUGCUGGUUUAGUUAUCCACCGUAUACUUUUGCAAUGUGCAGUUACAGAGAAAAGAAGUCGGAACCUACGGAAAUGAUGCAGCUGGAUGGAUAUACUGUAGAUUAUGUUAAACCAGUGCUUGAUCUUGAAGGUGGGAGGUUUUUUUUUCAAUGCGGUCAAGGAAGGUGAUAGACAAUGAAAAUGGGUGCCAUCUAUGGGUCAUGGCUAUGUACAGGACUACCUACCAUGUGAGCACAUUCAACAUCAAACCAGCAAAAACUCUACCAUAUCUAAGUUACAAGGAGGAUACAAGGACCUCAAGAUAAUACCACAAGGAUCCACCAUCACAAGAUGAAGUAGUAAAGGGCCACUUCUGUCUCAGGCACCCCGACCAACCGAGUUUUCAAAUUUUGGGUAAUUUUUA